GACGAACGCUGGCGGCGUGCCUAAUGCAUGCAAGUCGCACGGGUCACCUUCGGGUGGCCAGUGGCGCACGGCUGAGGAACACGUGCGUACCGGCCCCCUCGUGGGGGAUAACACUGCGAAAGUGGUGCUAAUCCCGCAUACGUUCUCGCGAAGAAAGCCUUCGGGCGCGGGGGGACGGGCGUGCGGCCCAUCAGGUUGUUGGCGGGGUAAUGGCCCACCAAGCCCGUGACGGGUUGCUGGUCUGUGAGGAUGAUCAGCCAGACUGGGGCUGAGACAC
This 277-nucleotide ribosomal RNA is filed under the name uncultured bacterium. Its description in RNAcentral is "partial 16S ribosomal RNA". It matches the Rfam family "Bacterial small subunit ribosomal RNA", at positions 28 to 327 of the family's 1533-position model. The record is from RNAcentral.